CUGUUCCUUUGGAAAAGCUGCUUGGUAUGUAGUGUUUAAUUCAGUAUUUUAAAGCCAUCCUUUUGUAGGCCCGUUCCACUUUAGCGAAAGUUACAACGCCUUGUGUGUGUUAGUUUAAAAAAAAAAGCAAAGUUUAUCGCCUGCCUCUCUCUCUCUCAGUAUCAGAAUAUUAGUAUUUUUAGGUGAAUAAAAUAGCCUAUUUUAGAGAUCUGUAGAGGGUAAGCUUGAAUGUGUUGUUAAUUUCAUGUGCCGUCAGGGUGAAUAGAUAUGAAAAGGAAUAAUUUGAUGAAAACAUCCAUGCUUUAGUAUUAUAAUUAUUUUAACAAUGAUGAAGUUUUAUUAUGGGAAUAGAACCCUGUUUUCUCCUUCUCUGCCACUUUUUUUGGUAUUAUGGAAUAUUCACAAUUUGAGAGAAGUCACUCCAUCACUAGAGUCAUCUUAUCUACAACCCCUAAGCGAAUUGCUUUUCCCACUAUCUAAUUUAUCCAAAGAACAUCUCCCUGGUCAGUAUUACAAGCCAUUUUUAUUAUUUUCCUACACUUGUUUAUUAAGCAUUUUGCACGUCAUGUUUUGUCAACAGGAAAGGAAAUGUCACAUCCAAUUUUUUCUUUCUUUUUUUCCUCUCCUGCUCUAUUACAAGAUUGAAAGCCUAAAGAACAAGAGUUCAAAUCUUGCUUGAAAUAUAGACACAUUUUUCUCAACCAGAGAAAUUCUGGAUUUACGUUUCAUUUUCUUGUGGAAAAAUUACUUUAAUUCAAUUUUGGAAAAACCCACACAUUUUACAUGUGCGACCUGUAAAUUUGUCCCUUGAUUUCAUUUAGGUGCUUGGCAAGAGUUCACAGAUUUUGCCAACAACUCUCAAAGAACUGCUUUAAUGGUCUAAUUGUUACAAUUUGGUAAUUAGCCAAAGUCGCAUUUCGAGGUGUGACCGAUAAGAUUUGGCAGUUAGCCAGUAUUUCAGAAAAUGGACUAGAGUCAUAGAGAUGCUACUAUUGUUCUCGUCUUCACGUUUAUACUUUUACUUUGGACUCCUGAGACAUACGGCUUUUGUGACUCUGCCACAACCUACUAUUCCCAACACAUCCCUGACAGCUGCAAGCAUCUUUGGGGAAGUGUCCCCCCAAGUUCCUGUUUCCAGUCAUUAAUGCAAAAGAAAGAAAAACGCUAGAGGCACUGAGAACCAUCCAACGCUUCAGCUGGCUUCAGCAAUUGCCACUUGCGCAAGACCCGUGUUUGUGAAAGCAACCCAAGAAUCUUUGAACAGGAUGUAAUCAACCUCCGAUCUGCUGAGAAACACUGCAAAAAUGACUUCCCCCUGCCAAAAAUAAUAAUGUCGUUUAUGAGCAGCCCUUCCAUGUCUAAGGAAGAAGUAGCCCCACGUGUGAGUUUCUGCUGGCUUCGGAGGAGCAGGCGAAGAAAAGGGCAAAUCCUACCAACCCCAGCCUAAAAUACACGGCAUCAGAACGCACGGCAAGCUGUGGCUCAUUCCAAACGUGCUGGCAAUAUCCGGGAAGACUCCUAUCCGCAAAAAUCCAAAGGAAUGAACCUGAAGACUGAAACUACAGCCGCUGUGUGGUGACCCGGAAGGGACAAGGGAGAGGACAAAGGCCUAUGAGGUAAGGAAGCUGGGCCAGACAGGCAGAAAGAACUUCAGGUAUUGACAGCCUCACUGAGUUGCCCACCCCGGACUUCCUGUUCUUGGAGAAAAAUAAAACCAUAAUUCAUACAGAAAGUGGACUUUUAAUUUUUUUUCAGAUGCGGGUGUUUGGGUGGAUGAUGGUAACAUUCAGACUCCAAUUCUGAUUUUUCCACUCCCCACUCCACACUUUUCAGUCUUUCCCCAAAACGUUUAGGAUAAAAUAUAAAUUGCUUAACUUAGUUCUCAGGGAUGUUUUAAAAUUUCCUUGCAAUUCACAUAUUUUUUAAAAAAGUUUUUAUUUAUUUAUUUUGAGAGACACAGAGACAGUGGGAGGAGCAGAAAGAGAGAAAGAGAGAGAGACAGAGAGGGAGAGAGAGAGAAUCCCAAGCGGGCUCCACACUAUCAGCACAGAGCCUGAUGCAGGGAUCAAACCCCUGAAGCCGUGAGAUCAUGACCUGAGCCAAAACCAAGAGUCGGAGGCUUAACCGACUGAACCCUCCCAGGAGCCCCAAUUACAAUUCACAUCUUAAUCUCGUCUCUGGUCACUCACCCACCCAGGUCCUUUCAUUGAAGCCACCUCCAGUGACCUGUACUGCAUGCACAGCCUGACUAUGUAGAAAGCCGUGGCUUUCCUCACAUUUCUUAUGCUAUUUUCCUGCGCCUUUUCUUUCUGCGUAGAACAUUCGUCAUUGUCUUCUGUGUUUAGCUAACUCUCCUUGAACUUCAAGGCUCGGAUCAGCUGCUCUUUCCUCCAGGAGGACGCUGGCCUUUCCAGUGCGGUUUAGGAUCUGGAGCACACGUUGUACAACUCUGCCUUCCCACGCUAUAACUCUAGGGUAACUGCUAUUUCACCCGUUUGCUUUUUCAAUUCAGCUUCAAGUUCCACAAAGUCAGGGAACAGAUUUCACCUGCACUUGUAUUAUUAGGACUUAGCCUACAAUAGGCAUUCAAUACAAUAUUUAACUAAAUAAAUGAUGGAAUGGAUAGAUCAAUAAAUUAUUCUUGAUCAGAGAGAGAAAGAAAGAUUUCAUGGAAUAAGUGCAUGGCUUGGAAUUAGACUCCUCACUCUUGAAGCAAGGUUAGAACUGAGACAGGCACAGAUUCAGGCACAGACCAAGGACCAAGUACAAAGGUCCCGAGUUCCUGAGUGAACAAAUGGUAGAUAAGAAGGCAGGAAUUCCAGGUGGACAAAGUUGAGUCAAAGCCAAGAGGCAAUAUGGUACAGAAUCUGUUUGACUAACUGUGAGGAGUCCACCUGGGCUGAGGCUUGGGAUGGAGGAAACCCAAAGGACCUUGAGUGACAGGCUUAGCAUGUUGGUUUGGGGUAUAUUAAGUGGAGGAGUUACAACACAAUCAAAGUUGCGAUUUUUUUUAUGAGACUUAAUUUUCCUUCUUGAUGAGUUUUGAUGGUAAUAGAAUGCUAUAGGAAUCUUGAAAGCAAACGUUUACAAAGAAAAGCGGGUGGGUGGGUUCCUACUUGGCACUCUCUGCAAGAAAAUUCUUCUUUUUUAAAGCUUAUGUAUUUAUUUUGAAAGGGGGGAGGAGCACAAGCAGGGGAGGCGUAGAGAGAGAGGGAGACAGAGGAUCCGAAGCGGGCUUGGUGCUGACAGCAGAGAGCCCCAUGCGGGCCUCGAACCCACAAACCGAGGUCAUGACCUGAGCUGAAGUCAGAUGCUUAACCAACCGAGCCACCCAGGCGCCCCAACUCUGCAAGAAAAUUCUUAAUGUCUUCUUUGCUCCUAAAGGGACAUCUUACUUUCUAGGUUCACUAUUAAAUUUAAUGUGUUAGAAGGGAAGAAGGAAGAGGAGGAGGGGUGUAGAAGUGUAUAAUCACACCUCAGAAUGAAGUGUUGGGGCUUCAGCUAGUUUAAAAAUUUGUCUGCAUGCUUAUACGAUCACUUGUAUUUUAAAUUCUUCCCAGGGCUUUGAAAAUGCAGAACCAUUGUGCUUAACAUCAGAGAUUGCUUCUAGAAGAUCUCUUAAGUAAUUCUUUUUUUAAAAAGUUUUUAAAAUAUUUAUUUAUUUUUGAGAGAGAAAGAGACAGAGCAAAAGUGGGGGAGGAACAGAGACAGAGGGAGAGACAGAAUCUGAAGCAGGCUCCAGGCUCUGAACUGUCAGGACAGAGCCCGACGCAGGGCUCAAACCUAUAAACCGUGAGAUCAUGACCUGAGCCAAAGUCGGAUGCUCAACCGACUGAGCCACCCAGGCGUGCCUAUCUCUUAAGUAAUUCUAAUAGCUCUAAUAUAAUAAGGAUAUUUAAUUCAUUUGAUGUUUUCAUUAUUAAAAUAUUUGAUUAUAUGUGGUGUAUAUCCUCAUAUGUCAGAUUACGUGAUCUGGUGCUUUCAAGUCAUCAACAACGAUUUGGCUCUAACCGAGCUGGUGGCACCCAGGGAGAUGAUCUUGGGUAAAUUCAUCUCUUUUUUGCUCUUCACAGGGUUUGAUUUUGUUCUUCUAUGCCAUUUGCAAAUGAUGAGCCCUCUUCCUCUGCUUUGGAACUCAUGUCCCAUGAUCUGCAAGAAACAUUUUUUUAACGUUCAUUUAUUUUUAUUUUUGAGAAAGAGACAGAAUGUGAGCGGGAUGUCAGAAUGUCAGAGAGAGAGAGAGAGAGAGAGAGAGAGAGAGAGAGAGAGAAUCCGAAGCAGGCUCCAGGCUCUGAGCUGUCAGCACAGAGCCCGAUGCGGGGCUCGAACCUACAAACUGUGAGAUCAUGACCUGAACUGAAGUCGAAUGAUUAACCAACUGAGCCACCCAGGCCCUCCUGCAAGGAUUAUUUUUAAAAAACUAUUUGCAAACAGAUUUUUGGGGGGUGUUUGGGGGGAGGUGCUUCCAAUGAUUAACACCUGAACAACAGAAUAGAAAGCCCAAACUGGUCUCGUAUUCCUUCUGGGCUUUAAGGUCUCAAACCCUUCAUAGGUGUCCAAUGAUACUCUUUUGACUAUGUGAAUGUAAGGACCUCCCUGUAGAAGCAAGCAAGAGAAAUGGUAUAGUCAUAGUUACUUGUGAGUUUAGUCCUAUUUUAAAAACAUUUUAAAAACAAAUCAAAGAAUACAAAAUCAACAGUAUUCAAUUAUUUUUGCUCUCUAUUGAAACUGUAGAUUCUCAGGGGCGCCUAGGUGGCUCAGUCGGUUAAGCGUCUGACUUUGGCUCAGGUCAUGAUCUCACAGUUCGUGAGUUCGAGCCCCGUGUCGGGCUCUGUGCUGACAGCUCAGAGCCUGGAGCCUGCUUCACAUUCUGUGUCUCCCUCUCUCUGCCCCUUCCCUGCUCAUGCUCUGUCUCUGUCUCAAACAUAAAUAAACAUUAAAAAAAAAUAAAAAAUAAACAGAAACUGUAGAUUCUCCUUUGUAAGUGGAUUAGAAUAUUCCUGACUUCAGGAACUGAGCCCAUUAUAUACUGUAUAAUCUAUUUAUAGUACCUAAUAUGGUGUUCUAUACUAAAUAAAUUCCUAGAGUAAUAUUUCUAAAUAAAUAAAUUUUAAAAAAUAUUAAGGACAUUAAUCUACUCAGAUUUUGCUGUUAUUAGGAUUUUUUGUCACCAGACACUGACUAUAUAAAAAAAAAAUCAGUGUUUAAAAGGAUUUACUAAUUGUAAUAGUGUAUCAUUUAAAGUGUAUUCUAUCUUCCUGUGUAGACAGCCUAGUUAAGCUUGAUCAUGUCCCUGGGCUUAUCACUAGAGAACAGGCAGAGACAUUAAUGCUAAUGUAAAAUAUAAUGAAGAAGUUUUUUGUUUUGUUUUGGUUUUGCAUAUAUUUCAUUGAGGUAUAGGGAGAGCUUGAAGAGAUUAAAGGGAAGAAAUUGCUUACAAGUUAUUUUCACUGCAAUUGUUGGACACCGGAGUAGAGAGAAAAUGUUGGAAUGCCAUAGCAUUCUCUCUCAACACCGCAGCUGGACCCUAGUGAUUUUUGCAGGAGAAGGUGAUUAAAGGCACUGAUGAACGAGGAGGCAUCCCGUCAGGCUUAGUUGGAACGAGACUGAUUUGGAAGAACUGAGGGGUAAAACAGAGAACUAUGAGGCUGUGAAGGCAGGGAAGCAUUUCUCCAAACACACUUGGCCAUUGGUUCAAAGACAAGUUGAAAGACUUUGCAAAAGUGCAUGUUACUAAGCAUUUCUUACAAAGUAACCAUGCCCAGGGGCUCACACAGCCGUCUACGCCCAUAAAAUAUUGUAUAUGUCAUCUACGCUAUGCAUUAACGUAGGAAAAAGGCAUGAUGAGUGUUUAGAAAAAUGCACAGACAUUACACGAAGAUAUAUAUUUCUCCAAAAUGGAGCUUAUUUUAUUUGAGAUACUUUCGGACUACCUACAAGCUACUUUAAUGAGAUUGCUUUCUGAAGGCAACAAGUUCAAUAAAUCAUUCUGCUUUUCUCCAGUCUUUUCAUCCUGCAUGUGCAAUUUUAACCAUGAUGGAAGGAGACUCUCUGGUCCAAAAAACUCAACAUAUUUCUUAUCCACAGACACAGGUAAGUGGAAACAACCGUUCUUCCGUGUCGGCAUUAGUCAUUGUGAUCUGUUUUUAACUUGUUGCAGAGUCAAAUAACACUGGUACGUGUCAUAAAAUGUCUCCAAAUAUUCCUGGGCUUGUUCAUUUGCUUCAAGCACAUAAAGAGGCAAAUGUUAAAGCAAUGUGUUCUGAUCAAGAAACAGCUGGAAAUGGCAGCUGCCUGAUACGGAGCAAUCAAGAAUGGAAGGUUUAUUUUGGACGAGAGGUGUUGUCCAACUGUGAGACUGAGUGAUUGCAGCUGAGAAUAAGUGCAAACACAAUCAAUAGUGGCUCCAGGUCUGAACUCAUUGAGAACCUGUCUCGUGUCAUGUCUUUUUCUGCUGCCACAGUCACACUACAUCCGUAGACGCCGAUACUAUCCGUGGAGGAGGUAAAAAGUUCUUCAGUUUAUUCUUAUUCUUAAGGACAGCUUCUGAGCCAUCAUGAUUUGAAAUUACAAUGACCAAAAGGCUCCUUCAGAAAAAAAGAAACAAUAUAUUCCAAAGUCAAAUUGUACAACGGGCAGGUAAGAAUGCCUCAACUUUAAAUGGUCUUGGGUGGGCAUUGCCUCAAGAGCCAGCCAAGUUGUUCUCUGCUUUCUGGAGUUGUAUGACUAUGGGCGAAGUGAUUUCAUUCUUCCCGGUCCCUAACAGUGUUGUUAUUUUAUCAAUACAGACCGUAGAAGCAGCUCAAUAAAUAUUUUCUGUUGAACAAUCUAUAAUCGCGACAUUUGAUAUUGAAUUUCAAUACUACUUCAGCAUAACCUGAUUGAAUUCAACUCCACUUCAACACAAAUAUAUUGUUCAAAAUAUGUGUUUCGUUAUGCCUCAUUAUUUAUAGUCAUACUUCAUGUAUCACACACAGAUAUAUCACAGACACAUAAAGACAGACACGUAACUACGUAAGAAAUAUUCCUCAAACGUAUGCUUUGUGGAGGAUAUCUUAAUAAUAGCAUUUUUUAAAAUAAAAAUCUUUCUCCUGUUUAUAUUACAAAAAUGACCACUUGAUGGUUCAUAAAUCUUUCCCUUCUUUCCUUCCUGCCUAUAUCUGUGUAAGGCCUUGAUGGGCCAAUCACCACAUGGAAUACAAACACGGAUAAAAUAAAGUUCCUGACCUCGGUGGGGAUUAACAUUCACUUGUUCCUUCACCCGAUCUUUCCCAGCUAGCAUUCUCAUUAGACGCUUUCAGUUAAAAACACAAAAACAAGAACAAACAGGGGCGCCUGGAUGGCGCAGUCGGUUAAGCGUCCGACUUCGGCCAGGUCACGAUCUCGCGGUCCGUGAGUUCGAGCCCCGCGUCAGGCUCUGGGCUGAUGGCUCAGAGCCUGGAGCCUGUUUCCGAUUCUGUGUCUCCCUCUCUCUCGGCCCCUCCCCCAUUCAUGCUCUGUCUCUCUCUGUCCCAAAAAUAAA
Acinonyx jubatus (cheetah) is the source of this 7522-nucleotide long non-coding RNA. RefSeq lists it as uncharacterized. NCBI's taxonomy places the organism in Eukaryota, Metazoa, Chordata, Mammalia, Carnivora, Felidae. The transcript is spliced from 2 exons. The record is from RefSeq and is a predicted model, not a curated record.